Molecule: ribosomal RNA, 259 nt
Filed under: uncultured bacterium
Lineage: Bacteria
Description: partial 16S ribosomal RNA
Rfam family: Bacterial small subunit ribosomal RNA
Source: RNAcentral
UACGGAGGGUGCAAGCGUUAUCCGGAUUCACUUGGGUUUAAAGGGUGCGUAGGUGGGCAGGUAAGUCAGUGGUGAAAUCUCCGAGCUUAACUCGGAAACUGCCGUUGAUACUAUUUGUCUUGAAUAUUGUGGAGGUAAGCGGAAUAUGUCAUGUAGCGGUGAAAAUGCUUAGAUAUGACAUAGAACACCAAUUGCGAAGGCAGCUUACUACACAACGAUUUGACGUGAGGCACGGAAAAGCGUGGGGGAUCAAAACAGG